Long non-coding RNA from Oryctolagus cuniculus (rabbit), 343 nucleotides. RefSeq lists it as uncharacterized. NCBI's taxonomy places the organism in Eukaryota, Metazoa, Chordata, Mammalia, Lagomorpha, Leporidae. The record is from RefSeq and is a predicted model, not a curated record.
CUCUCCUCCUCCUCCCCCUCCCGCAGCGGGCCCUGGGUGUCCUUGGAAGGAAAGGACUUCCUCAGACGGGGACAGGAGGCGCCACACAGGGUUGGUCCAGUGCUUUGACAGCCACCUCAAGGAGAGGCUUUCUAACUGCAGUUAAGCCACCGCCUGCGAUGUCAGCAUCCCUUAUCAGAGCACGGAGCCACUUCCAUUUCAGCUCCCUGCUAACGCACCUGGGAAAGCAGGGGAAGAUGGCCCAAGUCCUUGGGCCCCUGCACCCACGUGGGAGACCCGGAUGAAGCUCCUGGCUCCUGGCUUCGGAUCGGCCCAAUUCCAGCCGUUGCAGCCAUCUAGGGAG